AAUCAACGCUGGCGGCGUGCCUAACACAUGCAAGUCGAACGAGAAGGUGACUUCGGUCACUGGAUAGUGGCGUCCGGGUGAGUAACACGUAGGUAAUCUACCUUCGGGUGGGGAAUAACGUCUCGAAAGAGACGCUAAUACCGCAUAAUGCAGCGGCACCUAAUGGUGAUUAGUUGUUAAAGCGGGGGAUCUUCGGACCUCGCGCCUGAAGAGGAGCCUGCGGCAGAUAGCUAGUUGGUGAGGUAAUGGCUCACCAAGGCCUCGAUCUGUAGCUGGUCUGAGAGGACGGCCAGCCACACUGGCACUGACACACGGGCCAGACUCCUACAGGAGGCAGCAGUGGGGAAUUUUGGGCAAUGGGCGAAAGCCUGACCCAGCAACGCCGCGUGAAGGAGGGAAUCCUUCGGGAUGUAAACUUCAUAAGUAAGGGAAGAAAGCUGCGGAUCGAAUAAGUCCGCAGUCCGACGGUACCUUACGUAAGCCACGGCUAACUACGUGCC
RNAcentral lists this ribosomal RNA (500 nucleotides) under uncultured bacterium. RNAcentral describes it as "bacterial SSU rRNA". It matches the Rfam family "Bacterial small subunit ribosomal RNA", at positions 32 to 509 of the family's 1533-position model. The record is from RNAcentral.